Molecule: ribosomal RNA, 330 nt
Filed under: uncultured bacterium
Lineage: Bacteria
Description: bacterial SSU rRNA
Rfam family: Bacterial small subunit ribosomal RNA
Source: RNAcentral
UGUGUAGGCGGUUCUCUAAGUUUGGUGUGAAAUCUCCCGGCUCAACUGGGAGGGUGCGCCGAAAACUGGAGGGCUAGAGUACUGGAUGGGAGAGUGGAAUUCCUGGUGUAGCGGUGAAAUGCGUAGAUAUCAGGAGGAACACCUGUGGUGUAGACGGCUCUCUGGACAGUAACUGACGCUGAGACACGAAAGCGUGGGUAGCAAACAGGAUUAGAUACCCUGGUAGUCCACGCCCUAAACGAUGCAUAUUUGGUGUGGGUCAUUCAUUUGAUCCGUGCCGGAGCUAACGCGUUAAAUAUGCCGCCUGGGGAGUACGGUCGCAAGGCUGAA